Molecule: ribosomal RNA, 503 nt
Filed under: uncultured bacterium
Lineage: Bacteria
Description: partial 16S ribosomal RNA
Rfam family: Bacterial small subunit ribosomal RNA
Source: RNAcentral
GAUAAACGCUAGCGGCAGGCUUAACACAUGCAAGUCGAGGGGCAGCAUAGAUUGUAGCAAUACAAUUGGUGGCGACCGGCGCACGGGUGCGUAACGCGUAUGCAACCUACCCGUCACAGGGGGAUAAUCCGGAGAAAUCUGGUCUAAUACCCCAUAACAUAUGGAUCGGCAUCGGUUCAUGUUGAAAUUUUCGGAGGUGACGGAUGGGCAUGCGUAGCAUUAGCUUGUUGGUGAGGUAACGGCUCACCAAGGCGACGAUGCUUAGGGGGACUGAGAGGUUUUCCCCCCACACUGGUACUGAGGCACGGACCGGACUCCUACGGGAGGCAGCAGUGAGGAUAUUGGUCAAUGGGCGCAAGCCUGAACCAGCCAUGCCGCGUGCAGGAUGACGGCUCUAUGAGUUGUAAACUGCUUUUGUACGAGGGUAAAGUGGGUUACGUGUAACCUUUUGAAAGUAUCGUACGAAUAAGGAUCGGCUAACUCCGUGCCAGCCGCCGCAGUAA